CAUGUAGGUGUCCCUUCAAGUUCCGAUUGAAAUCCCUCGGCUCAACCGAGGAACGCGUCGGAAUACUGUUGGGAUUGAGUACAGGAGAGGAGAACGGAAUUCCCGGUGUAAGGGUGAAAUCUGUAGAUAUCGGGAGGAACACCAGUGGCGAAGGCGGUUCUCUGGACUGUAACUGACACUGAAAUGCGAAAGCUAGGGGAGCAAACAGGAUUAGAUACCCUGGUAGUCC
RNAcentral lists this ribosomal RNA (229 nucleotides) under uncultured bacterium. Its description in RNAcentral is "partial 16S ribosomal RNA". It matches the Rfam family "Bacterial small subunit ribosomal RNA", at positions 568 to 796 of the family's 1533-position model. The record is from RNAcentral.